AUGGAGCGCAACCCCAGGACGCCGGCUCCCCGGGUGUAUACGGAGGUCCCGCCGGAAACAAUAUUCGUGCAUGCCACCACGUCGACGUUCAAGGAGGUGGUGCAGCGUCUCACCGGCCAGCCGGCGGCCGCAAAUACCGUCGCCCAUGGCUAUGGUGCCACCGUGCAGCAGCCACCGCCGCCACCGGUGCCACUCGCGGCCGGCAUCGUGUCGCCAUAUACGCACCCGCUACCACUGCUGUCGGACAUGCCGGGCCUGUGCAUCGCCAACAAGGCGGUGGAGAUGGUGGACGCUGAAGAGGAGAAGGCCAUCAAGGAGGGGAGGUUCUACCUGCUUCCGUCGGGAAGGUGCCGCUGCUGCCACGCCGAGCCGAAACUGCUUCCAUUGUUUCCAGGAGCGGAGUAG
RNAcentral lists this ribosomal RNA (405 nucleotides) under Triticum aestivum (bread wheat). Its description in RNAcentral is "partial small subunit ribosomal RNA". The record is from RNAcentral. Lineage: Eukaryota; Viridiplantae; Streptophyta; Magnoliopsida; Poales; Poaceae.